RNAcentral lists this ribosomal RNA (433 nucleotides) under uncultured Lachnospiraceae bacterium. RNAcentral's name for it is "partial 16S ribosomal RNA". It matches the Rfam family "Bacterial small subunit ribosomal RNA", at positions 341 to 792 of the family's 1533-position model. The record is from RNAcentral. Lineage: Bacteria; Bacillati; Bacillota; Clostridia; Lachnospirales; Lachnospiraceae.
ACGGAGGCAGCAGUGGGGAAUAUUGGACAAUGGGGGAAACCCUGAUCCAGCGACGCCGCGUGAGUGAAGAAGUAUUUCGGUAUGUAAAGCUCUAUCAGCAGGGAAGAUGAUGACGGUACCUGACUAAGAAGCCCCGGCUAACUACGUGCCAGCAGCCGCGGUCAUACGUAUGGAGCAAGCGUUAUCCGGAUUUACUGGGUGUAAAGGGAGCGUAGACGGCGAAACAAGUCUGAAGUGAAAUCCCGGGGCUCAACCCCGGAACGGCUUUGGAAACUGUUUUGCUAGAGUGCAGGAGAGGUAAGCGGAAUUCCUAGUGUAGCGGUGAAAUGCGUAGAUAUUAGGAGGAACACCAGUGGCGAAGGCGGCUUACUGGACUGUAACUGACGUUGAGGCUCGAAAGCGUGGGGAGCAAACAGGAUUAGAUACCCUGGUA